GCAUUGCGAUGAAGCAAAAGGUUGCUGUUUACAGGGAAUUUUUGCUGAGAAUGUCCGGUUAAGAAUCGGGCGACUG
This is a regulatory RNA element of Sporanaerobacter sp. PP17-6a, 76 nucleotides long. It matches the Rfam family "S10-Clostridia ribosomal protein leader". Lineage: Bacteria; Bacillati; Bacillota; Tissierellia; Tissierellales; Sporanaerobacteraceae. The record is from Rfam.